UGGGGAAUAUUGCACAAUGGGCGCAAGCCUGAUGCAGCCAUGCCGCGUGUAUGAAGAAGGCCUUCGGGUUGUAAAGUACUUUCAGCGGGGAGGAAGGGAGUAAAGUUAAUACCUUUGCUCAUUGACGUUACCCGCAGAAGAAGCACCGGCUACCUCCGUGCCAGCAGCCGCGGUAAUACGGAGGGUGCAAGCGUUAAUCGGAAUUACUGGGCGUAAAGCGCACGCAGGCGGUUUGUUAAGUCAGAUGUGAAAUCCCCGGGCUCAGCCUGGAAACAGCAUCUGAUACAGGCAAGCUUGAGUCUCGUAGAGGGGGGUAGAAUUCCAGGUGUAGCGGUGAAAAGCGUAGAGAUCUGGAGGAAUACCGGUGGCGAAGGCGGCCCCCUGGACGAAGACUGACGCUCAGGUGCGAAAGCGUGGGGAGCAAACAGG
Molecule: ribosomal RNA, 429 nt
Filed under: Chloroflexota bacterium
Lineage: Bacteria; Bacillati; Chloroflexota
Description: Chloroflexi bacterium partial 16S ribosomal RNA
Rfam family: Bacterial small subunit ribosomal RNA
Source: RNAcentral